RNAcentral lists this transfer RNA (83 nucleotides) under Bacteroidales bacterium. RNAcentral's name for it is "tRNA-Tyr". It matches the Rfam family "tRNA". From Rfam's summary of the family: Transfer RNA (tRNA) molecules are approximately 80 nucleotides in length. Their secondary structure includes four short double-helical elements and three loops (D, anti-codon, and T loops). Further hydrogen bonds mediate the characteristic L-shaped molecular structure. tRNAs have two regions of fundamental functional importance: the anti-codon, which is responsible for specific mRNA codon recognition, and the 3' end, to which the tRNAs corresponding amino acid is attached (by aminoacyl-tRNA synthetases). tRNAs cope with the degeneracy of the genetic code in two manners: having more than one tRNA (with a specific anti-codon) for a particular amino acid; and 'wobble' base-pairing, i.e. permitting non-standard base-pairing at the 3rd anti-codon position. The record is from RNAcentral. RNAcentral also lists the same sequence under 1 other name. Lineage: Bacteria; Pseudomonadati; Bacteroidota; Bacteroidia; Bacteroidales.
GGGAAGAUACCAAAGUGGCCAACUGGGGCAGACUGUAAAUCUGCUGUCGUACGACUUCAGAGGUUCGAAUCCUCUUCUUCCCA